CGCUUUGUGGCCUGUCUCCCCUUGGGGCAACAAGGCAGGACAUUGUGCCUUGCACCUCUAGGGCAAUGUAGAACCCGGCAGAGCAGAAGUUCUACUUCAGCAUGAUCAGGGCUGGGAAGAAACUGCGUUUCACAGGUCUUUGUAAGCCAUGUUCCCGGUAGGCUGUAAGAGCACUGUGGAGAGCGAGUUGUUUCUUAGCUUCCAAAAUAGUGGAAGCAGGACGCUUUCUGGCCUGCCUCACCUUGAGGAAACAAGGCAGGACAUUGUGGCUUGCAUGUCUAGGGCAGUAUAGGACACGGCAGAGCAGAAGUUCUACUUCAGCGAUAUCAGGGCUGGAAAGAAACUGUGUUUCACAGGCCUUUGUGAGAGAUGUUCCCAGUAGGCUGUAAGAGCACUGUGCAGAGCGAGUUGUUUCUUAGCUUCCCAAAGAGCUGGAAGCAAGACUGAUUGUGGCUUGUUUCCUUUGGUGACAAUGACUCAAGGCUUUGCUUCUUCCACCUCUAGAGAAAAGUAGGACAUGGCUUAGAGCAGAACUUCCAAGGCGGUGAGAUCAUGACUGGAAACAAACUGCAUUUCAGGCCUUUUUAUGAGAGGUUCCCGGUAGGCUGUAAGAGACCUGUGGAAAGCGAGUUCUUUCUCACCUUGCAAAGAGCUGGAAGAAAGACGGUCUGUGGCAUGUCUCCUCUUAAGGAAGUCAGGCAGGCCAUUGUGACUUCCAACUCUAGGGCAAUGUAUGAAACGGCAGAGCAGAAGUUCUACUUCAGCGAGAUCAGGGCUGGGAAGAAACUGCGUUUCACAGGCCUUUGUGAGAGAUGUUCCCGGUAGGCUGUAAGAGCACUGUGGAGAGCGAGUUGUUUCUUAGCUUCCCAAAACCUGGAAUCAAGACCGUUAGUGGCUUGCCUCCUUUAGUGGCAAUGACUCCGCGCUUUGUGUCUUCCACCUCUAGAGCAAUGUAGGACAUGGCUUAGAGCAGAAUUUCAAAGGCGUAGAGAUCAUGGCUGAAAUCAAACUGCAUUUCAGGCCUUUGUAUGAGAGGUUCCCUGUAGGCUGUAAAAGCCCUGUAGAAAGCGAGUUCUUUCUCACCUUGCCAAAGAGCUGGAACUGAGACGGUCUGUGGCCUGUCUCCUCUUAAGGAAGUCAGGCAGGCCAUUGUGACUUUCACUUCAAGGGCAAUGUAUUACACGGCAUAGCAGAUGUUCUACUUCAGAGAGAUCAGGGCUGGGAAGAAUCUGCGUUUCACACACCUUUGUAAGACAUGUUCCCGGUAGGCUGUAAGAGCACUGUGGAGAGCGAGUUGUUUCUUAGCUUCCCAAAGAGCUGGAAGCAAGACGCUUGUGGCCUGUCUCCCCUUGAGGAAACAAGGCAGGACUUUGUACCUUUCACUUCUAGGGCAACAUAGAACACGGCAUCACAGAAGUUCUACUUCAGCGAGAUCACGGCUGGGAUGAAACUGAGUCUCACAGGCCAUUGUGAGAGAUGUUCCUGGUAGGCUGUAAGUGCACUGUGGAGGGCCUGUUGUUUCUUAGCUUCCCAAAGAUCUGGAAGCAAGACCGUUUGUGGC
RNAcentral lists this long non-coding RNA (1561 nucleotides) under Equus caballus (horse). Its description in RNAcentral is "lncRNA (ENSECAG00000060290.1)". The record is from RNAcentral. Lineage: Eukaryota; Metazoa; Chordata; Mammalia; Perissodactyla; Equidae.